GAUGAAACGCUAGCUAUAGGCUUAAACACAUGCAAAGUCGAGGGGAAAACGGCAGAGAGUGCUUGCACACUUUGGGACGUCGACCGGCGCACGGGUGAGUAAACGCGUAUCCAACCUGCCCUUUACUGGGGAUAACCCGUGAAAGACGGACUAAUACCCAAUGAUAUUCAUUGAUGACAUCUGAUUUGAAUUAAAGAUUUAUCGGUAUAGGAUGGGGGAUGCGUCUGAUUAGCUUGUUGGUGAGGUAACGGCUCACCCAAGGCCCACGAUCAGUAGGGGUUCUGAGAGGAAGGUCCCCCACAUUGGAACUGAGACACGGUCCAAACUCCUACGGGAGGCAGCAGUGAGGAAUAUUGGUCAAUGGACGAGAGUCUGAACCAGCCAAGUAGCGUGCAGGAUGACGGCCCUAUGGGUUGUAAACUGCUUUUGUUUGGGAAUAAUCGACAUUACGUGUAAUGUUUUGCAUGUACCAUUCGAAUAAGGACCGGCUAAUUCCGUGCCAGCAGCCGCGGUAAU
RNAcentral lists this ribosomal RNA (516 nucleotides) under uncultured Prevotella sp. RNAcentral describes it as "bacterial SSU rRNA". It matches the Rfam family "Bacterial small subunit ribosomal RNA", at positions 27 to 524 of the family's 1533-position model. The record is from RNAcentral. Lineage: Bacteria; Pseudomonadati; Bacteroidota; Bacteroidia; Bacteroidales; Prevotellaceae.